RNAcentral lists this small RNA (1830 nucleotides) under Pan troglodytes (chimpanzee). RNAcentral describes it as "retained intron". Lineage: Eukaryota; Metazoa; Chordata; Mammalia; Primates; Hominidae. The record is from RNAcentral.
GUAAUUGGAAUCAUCCACUUCCAAGGUGUGAAGCUCUUUGUGGUGGGAAUAUAACUGCAAUGAAUGGCACCAUUUAUUCUCCUGGGUAUCCUGAUGAAUAUCCAAACUUUCAAGAUUGUUUUUGGCUUGUAAGAGUACCCCCUGGGAAUGGCAUCUACAUCAAUUUUACUGUCCUUCAAACAGAACCAAUAUAUGAUUUCAUUACUGUAUGGGAUGGACCAGACCAAAAUUCACCUCAGAUCGGUCAGUUCAGUGGCAAUACCGCUUUGGAAUCAGUCUACAGUACUUCAAAUCAGAUUCUAAUCAAAUUCCACAGUGAUUUCACAACAAGUGGCUUUUUUGUGCUCAGUUAUCACGCCUAUCAACUAAGGGUGUGCCAACCUCCACCACCUGUGCCCAAUGCUGAAAUUUUGAUGGAAGAUGAUGAAUUUGAAAUAGGUGAUAUUAUUAGGUAUCAGUGUCUUCCAGGAUUUACUUUAGUUGGUAAUGCAAUUCUGACGUGCAGAUUAGGAGAACGACUGCAGAUGGAUGGAGCACCUCCAGUUUGUCAAGUGCUCUGUCCUGCCAAUGAAUUACGGCUAGAUUCUACUGGAGUCAUAUUGAGCCCUGGAUAUCCUGACAGUUACCCAAAUCUUCAAAUGUGUGCAUGGAGCAUUUCAGUGGAAAAGGGUUAUAAUAUCACCAUGUUUGUAGAAUUCUUCCAGACAGAAAAGGAAUUUGAUGUUCUUCAGGUGUAUGAUGGACCAAAUAUUCAAAGUCCAGUGCUUAUUUCCCUCAGUGGGGAUUAUUCAUCUGCUUUUAAUAUAACAAGCAAUGGUCAUGAAGUAUUUCUUCAGUGGUCAGCAGAUCAUGGCAAUAACAAAAAAGGCUUCCGGAUAAGAUAUAUAGCUUUCUACUGUAGUACACCAGAAUCCCCACCUCAUGGAUAUAUUAUCAGUCAGACAGGUGGGCAGCUUAACAGUGUGGUCCGUUGGGCCUGUGAUCGAGGAUUCCGACUUGUUGGAAAAAGCAGUGCUGUGUGCAGAAAGUCUUCCUAUGGGUAUCAUGCAUGGGAUGCGCCAGUCCCUGCCUGUCAAGGUGAAGUAUAUUAUGCCAAAAUGAACAAAAACAUGAAUGUGAGAUUAGCACCAUUUAACGUUUUUAUUUGGAUCACUAACUUUUCUGAGAAUGGAAAUAUUCGGAAGCAUAUUGUGAACUCUUUUCAUAAAAACAAGGCAUAACAUUGCAGAAUGAUAAAUUCCAGGGGAAAGAAACAUACUGUUUUAUAAUUAUUCAUUAUUGUUAUGCAACUUAUAUGCCUUGACUUUUUCCCCUUGUAUACGUACUUUAUUCAUACAUCCUCCAUUUCAGUUACUUUGUUUUAAGACAAUUAUUGAAAGAGAGGAAGACUGAGUUAGUGUGAAGUCUGCAGAGAGGUAAUAGAGAAUAAGAAUGGGCAAGUACACUGAAGACUGAGUUUCACUCUUAGCAUCCAAAAUUUGCUCUCACAGCAACAAAUUUAAGAGAAAAAUGUAACCCACCACCUGGCUAUUUUUUUUCUUCAGUGGUACAGAUAACACAACAGAGAUAUCAGAGAUAUGUUUUUUAUUUUUAUUUGUAUUUUGUCAAAAGUCGAGGCACUGAGCAUUAUAUCAUGCUGCAAAAAGAAUAACAAGCUUGUUAAUCAAAAAAUUGCAUGUUUUAGAGUUUUUGAUUAAGACUUGUUUUUAUGGGAGGCUGAGGCCGGAGAAUGACUUGAACCCGGGAGGCGGAGGUUGCAGUGAGCUGAGAUUGCAACACUGCACUCCAGCUUGGGCAACAAGAACGAAACUCCAUCUCAAAAAACAAAAA